GGAGAGAUGGCUGAGUGGUUGAUAGCUCCGGUCUUGAAAACCGGUAUAGUUCGAGAGAACUAUCGAGGGUUCGAAUCCCCCUCUCUCCU
This 89-nucleotide transfer RNA is filed under the name Medicago arabica. RNAcentral describes it as "tRNA-Ser". It matches the Rfam family "tRNA". From Rfam's summary of the family: Transfer RNA (tRNA) molecules are approximately 80 nucleotides in length. Their secondary structure includes four short double-helical elements and three loops (D, anti-codon, and T loops). The record is from RNAcentral. Lineage: Eukaryota; Viridiplantae; Streptophyta; Magnoliopsida; Fabales; Fabaceae.